UUCCCCUACCAGCCGGUUCGCGGCGCCUCUUGGAGCUAACCUGUGACCGGCUAGGAGAGGACAC
This 64-nucleotide microRNA precursor is filed under the name Macaca mulatta (Rhesus monkey). Its description in RNAcentral is "Mml-Novel-15_pre stem-loop". Lineage: Eukaryota; Metazoa; Chordata; Mammalia; Primates; Cercopithecidae. The record is from RNAcentral.